This is a long non-coding RNA of Dreissena polymorpha, 400 nucleotides long. RefSeq lists it as uncharacterized. The transcript is spliced from 3 exons. The record is from RefSeq and is a predicted model, not a curated record. Lineage: Eukaryota; Metazoa; Mollusca; Bivalvia; Myida; Dreissenidae.
UAUGGUCUUCAAAUGCCCUUGUGUAUGCGUGACUUGUCUCAAAUUAACAUGUACUGAUUGUUUCAAAACUUCAGAACAGAGUUUCAAAUAAAGCAUAAAUUAGUUAUCACUACAUCUUUAAAACAACCAGUAAAAUUACCAUCAUGUACUCCAGGAUAUGCUGCUUUCUUCUGAUGGUUUCAUUUGGCUUGGUAUUGAGUCAACUGGUGACACCGUUCAUGAUAUGUGAGUGGGAGCAGAUGAAACUUCGUAACGUUUCUCACGGUGUCAGUUUUGACAAUCCUGUCAUGGUAGAGAUCCGCGACUACUGCAGCCAUCAUGCAUACCAGCAUAUCGGCAAUCUGGGAACACUGGGCAAAUAGAUUCGAGUCACUGUUAAUCAAUACAUAAUGGAUAUGCU